GGAUGACCGCUGGCGGCGUGCCUAAUACAUGCACGUCGAGCGAACAGAUAAGGAGCUUGCUCCUUUGACGUUAGCGGCGGACGGGUGAGUAACACGUGGGUAACCUACCUAUAAGACUGGAAUAACUCCGGGAAACCGGGGCUAAUGCCGGAUAACAUGUUGAACCGCAUGGUUCUACAGUGAAAGGCGGCUUUGCUGUCACUUAUAGAUGGACCCGCGCCGUAUUAGCUAGUUGGUGAGGUAACGGCUCACCAAGGCAACGAUACGUAGCCGACCUGAGAGGGUGAUCGGCCACACUGGAACUGAGACACGGUCCAGACUCCUACGGGAGGCAGCAGUAGGGAAUCUUCCGCAAUGGGCGAAAGCCUGACGGAGCAACGCCGCGUGAGUGAUGAAGGUCUUCGGAUCGUAAAACUCUGUUAUUAGGGAAGAACAAAUGCGUAAGUAACUGUGCGCGUCUUGACGGUACCUAAUCAGAAAGCCACGGCUAACUACGUG
This 498-nucleotide ribosomal RNA is filed under the name uncultured bacterium. RNAcentral describes it as "partial 16S ribosomal RNA". It matches the Rfam family "Bacterial small subunit ribosomal RNA", at positions 27 to 507 of the family's 1533-position model. The record is from RNAcentral.